Molecule: microRNA precursor, 62 nt
Filed under: Aedes aegypti (yellow fever mosquito)
Lineage: Eukaryota; Metazoa; Arthropoda; Insecta; Diptera; Culicidae
Description: Aae-Mir-276-P2_pre stem-loop
Rfam family: mir-276 microRNA precursor family
Source: RNAcentral
AGCGAGGUAUAGAGUUCCUACGUUGCGUGUGCGAAAUUGGUAGGAACUUCAUACCGUGCUCU